Small nucleolar RNA from Misgurnus anguillicaudatus (oriental weatherfish), 128 nucleotides. RefSeq annotates it as small nucleolar RNA SNORA63. The record is from RefSeq and is a predicted model, not a curated record. NCBI's taxonomy places the organism in Eukaryota, Metazoa, Chordata, Actinopteri, Cypriniformes, Cobitidae.
CUGCAGGAUAAGUUACAAAACGGCUGCUCUGUGUCGUUCUGUCGUUCCCCCUGCGCAAAUUGACUUGUUUCCUACUAUCCCUGUCUGUCUGCACACCCCGGCAGGCAGGGACGCUUGGUUUCAGACAG